GUCUCUGUGGCGCAAUAGGUUAGCACGUUCGGCUGUUAACUGAAAGGUUGGUGGUUCAACCCCACCUAGGGACG
Non-coding RNA from Danio rerio (zebrafish), 74 nucleotides. The record is from Rfam. NCBI's taxonomy places the organism in Eukaryota, Metazoa, Chordata, Actinopteri, Cypriniformes, Danionidae.